GGGGGUGUAGCUCAGUGGUAGAGUGUUCGUUUUGCAUGUGAAAGACCCCGGGUUCGAUCCCCGGCGCCUCCA
Argiope bruennichi is the source of this 72-nucleotide non-coding RNA. Lineage: Eukaryota; Metazoa; Arthropoda; Arachnida; Araneae; Araneidae. The record is from the annotation of a RefSeq genome assembly.